RNAcentral lists this ribosomal RNA (460 nucleotides) under uncultured bacterium. RNAcentral describes it as "SSU rRNA". It matches the Rfam family "Bacterial small subunit ribosomal RNA", at positions 26 to 518 of the family's 1533-position model. The record is from RNAcentral.
AGAAUCAACGCUGGCGGCGUGCCUAACACAUGCAAGUCGAACGAGAAAGUGGAGCAAUCCAUUAGUAAAGUGGCGCACGGGUGAGUAACACGUGACUAACCUACCCUUGAGUGGGGGAUAACCUAGGGAAACCUGGGCUAAUACCGCAUAAUACCUUCGGGUCAAAGGAGCAAUUCGCUUAAGGAGGGGGUCGCGGCCGAUUAGUUAGUUGGCGGGGUAAUGGCCCACCAAGACGUAUGAUCGGUAUCCGGCCUGAGAGGGCGCACGGACACACUGGAACUGAAACACGGUCCAGACUCCUACGGGAGGCAGCAGUGGGGAAUUUUGCGCAAUGGGGGAAACCCUGACGCAGCAACGCCGCGUGGAGGAUGAAGUCCCUUGGGACGUAAACUCCUUUCGAUCGGGACGAUAAUGACGGUACCGAGAGAAGAAGCCCGGCUAACUUCGCGCCAGCAGCCGC